This 253-nucleotide ribosomal RNA is filed under the name uncultured bacterium. RNAcentral's name for it is "partial 16S ribosomal RNA". It matches the Rfam family "Bacterial small subunit ribosomal RNA", at positions 524 to 776 of the family's 1533-position model. The record is from RNAcentral.
UACAGAGGUCUCAAGCGUUGUUCGGAUUCAUUGGGCGUAAAGGGUGCGUAGGUGGCGCUGUAAGUCGGGUGUGAAAUUUCGGAGCUUAACUCCGAAACUGCAUUCGAUACUGCGGUGCUUGAGGACUGGAGAGGAGACUGGAAUUCAUGGUGUAGCAGUGAAAUGCGUAGAGAUCAUGAGGAAGACCAGUGGCGAAGGCGGGUCUCUGGACAGUUCCUGACACUGAGGGACGAAAGCUAGGGGAGCGAAUGGG